CAGAGAGGGCAAGCGUUGUCCGGAAUGACUGGGCGUAAAGCGCGCGCAGGCGGUCUUUAAGUUGGAUGUGAAAUCCCCGGGCUUAACCUGGGAACUGCAUUCGAUACUGGGAGACUAGAGGCCGAGAGAGGAAAGCGGAAUGACGAGUGUAGAGGUGAAAUUCGUAGAUAUUCGUCGGAACACCAGAGGCGAAGGCGGCUUUCUGGCUCGGACCUGACGCUCAGGCGCGAAAGCGUGGGAGCAAACAGGAUU
Molecule: ribosomal RNA, 252 nt
Filed under: uncultured bacterium
Lineage: Bacteria
Description: partial 16S ribosomal RNA
Rfam family: Bacterial small subunit ribosomal RNA
Source: RNAcentral